GACGUAGGGUGCAAGCGUUGUCCGGAUUUACUGGGCGUAAAGAGCGCGUAGGCGGCUCGUUAAGUGAGAAGUGAAAGCUGUGGGCUCAACCCACAAACCGCUUUUCAUACUGGCGAGCUGGAGUGAUGCAGAGGUGGAUAGAAUUCCUGGUGUAGCGGUGAAAUGCGUUGAUAUCAGGAGGAACACCGGUGGCGAAGGCGGGUCUCUGGGCCGAUACUGACGCUGAGGAGCGAGAGCGUGGGGAGCGAACAGG
Molecule: ribosomal RNA, 253 nt
Filed under: uncultured bacterium
Lineage: Bacteria
Description: partial 16S ribosomal RNA
Rfam family: Bacterial small subunit ribosomal RNA
Source: RNAcentral